AAAGAGUGAAGGUUUUGAUAAAACUUUGUAUAUAUAGAUGGCAAAAAGCAUCUGUUGAACCUAAAUUAUGACUAAAAUUAUUAUUAUAGGCAUAUGAAAUAAUAUCUUAUGUUUGAUGUAAUACACAAUAGUCUCUAGAGCUUUUGUUUUAUCCCCUUUUGACUUCAUCACAAAAUAAAUGUGUGAUUUGACCUACUUGGUGGUAGAAGUAUUCACCUGGAGCUCAUCCAACUGAGAACUUGGCUCUAAAUGAAGUGAAACUCCUCACUAUCUGUCUUCAUUGCUAAUGGCCAUGCUUAUUUACGUGUGUAGAUUAUUCAUCAUAUGCUCUAUGAGUCAUAUCCGGCGUCAAGAGCAUAGCAUAUGGCACAUCAAUAUCACUUCCUGUUUGCUAUCCAUGUGUGUAUGUAGUAUCUAUAAUGCAAUAAAUUUGAGUAGGUGCGGCUAUAAGACUGUUGACUGUUCACUUUAACUGUGUAUCGCUGUUUUAUCCAAGUUACUUUUGUUGGACCCUGUUUAAUAAUUGAGAAGAUGCCAAAGACACGAGCUAAGACAAGAAAAGUUGACAGGAGGACCCUAAGAAAAGAAAGAUUUCAUCAUUUGGGAAAGAAAAGUUGGGAAAA
Amphimedon queenslandica is the source of this 623-nucleotide long non-coding RNA. RefSeq lists it as uncharacterized. The record is from RefSeq and is a predicted model, not a curated record. The transcript is spliced from 2 exons. NCBI's taxonomy places the organism in Eukaryota, Metazoa, Porifera, Demospongiae, Haplosclerida, Niphatidae.